Molecule: ribosomal RNA, 2812 nt
Filed under: Escherichia coli
Lineage: Bacteria; Pseudomonadati; Pseudomonadota; Gammaproteobacteria; Enterobacterales; Enterobacteriaceae
Description: bacterial LSU rRNA
Rfam family: Bacterial large subunit ribosomal RNA
Source: RNAcentral
GGGUUGUGAGGUUAAGCGACUAAGCGUACACGGUGGAUGCCCUGGCAGUCAGAGGCGAUGAAGGACGUGCUAAUCUGCGAUAAGCGUCGGUAAGGUGAUAUGAACCGUUAUAACCGGCGAUUUCCGAAUGGGGAAACCCAGUGUGUUUCGACACACUAUCAUUAACUGAAUCCAUAGGUUAAUGAGGCGAACCGGGGGAACUGAAACAUCUAAGUACCCCGAGGAAAAGAAAUCAACCGAGAUUCCCCCAGUAGCGGCGAGCGAACGGGGAGCAGCCCAGAGCCUGAAUCAGUGUGUGUGUUAGUGGAAGCGUCUGGAAAGGCGCGCGAUACAGGGUGACAGCCCCGUACACAAAAAUGCACAUGCUGUGAGCUCGAUGAGUAGGGCGGGACACGUGGUAUCCUGUCUGAAUAUGGGGGGACCAUCCUCCAAGGCUAAAUACUCCUGACUGACCGAUAGUGAACCAGUACCGUGAGGGAAAGGCGAAAAGAACCCCGGCGAGGGGAGUGAAAAAGAACCUGAAACCGUGUACGUACAAGCAGUGGGAGCACGCUUAGGCGUGUGACUGCGUACCUUUUGUAUAAUGGGUCAGCGACUUAUAUUCUGUAGCAAGGUUAACCGAAUAGGGGAGCCGAAGGGAAACCGAGUCUUAACUGGGCGUUAAGUUGCAGGGUAUAGACCCGAAACCCGGUGAUCUAGCCAUGGGCAGGUUGAAGGUUGGGUAACACUAACUGGAGGACCGAACCGACUAAUGUUGAAAAAUUAGCGGAUGACUUGUGGCUGGGGGUGAAAGGCCAAUCAAACCGGGAGAUAGCUGGUUCUCCCCGAAAGCUAUUUAGGUAGCGCCUCGUGAAUUCAUCUCCGGGGGUAGAGCACUGUUUCGGCAAGGGGGUCAUCCCGACUUACCAACCCGAUGCAAACUGCGAAUACCGGAGAAUGUUAUCACGGGAGACACACGGCGGGUGCUAACGUCCGUCGUGAAGAGGGAAACAACCCAGACCGCCAGCUAAGGUCCCAAAGUCAUGGUUAAGUGGGAAACGAUGUGGGAAGGCCCAGACAGCCAGGAUGUUGGCUUAGAAGCAGCCAUCAUUUAAAGAAAGCGUAAUAGCUCACUGGUCGAGUCGGCCUGCGCGGAAGAUGUAACGGGGCUAAACCAUGCACCGAAGCUGCGGCAGCGACGCUUAUGCGUUGUUGGGUAGGGGAGCGUUCUGUAAGCCUGUGAAGGUGUGCUGUGAGGCAUGCUGGAGGUAUCAGAAGUGCGAAUGCUGACAUAAGUAACGAUAAAGCGGGUGAAAAGCCCGCUCGCCGGAAGACCAAGGGUUCCUGUCCAACGUUAAUCGGGGCAGGGUGAGUCGACCCCUAAGGCGAGGCCGAAAGGCGUAGUCGAUGGGAAACAGGUUAAUAUUCCUGUACUUGGUGUUACUGCGAAGGGGGGACGGAGAAGGCUAUGUUGGCCGGGCGACGGUUGUCCCGGUUUAAGCGUGUAGGCUGGUUUUCCAGGCAAAUCCGGAAAAUCAAGGCUGAGGCGUGAUGACGAGGCACUACGGUGCUGAAGCAACAAAUGCCCUGCUUCCAGGAAAAGCCUCUAAGCAUCAGGUAACAUCAAAUCGUACCCCAAACCGACACAGGUGGUCAGGUAGAGAAUACCAAGGCGCUUGAGAGAACUCGGGUGAAGGAACUAGGCAAAAUGGUGCCGUAACUUCGGGAGAAGGCACGCUGAUAUGUAGGUGAAGUCCCUUGCGGAUGGAGCUGAAAUCAGUCGAAGAUACCAGCUGGCUGCAACUGUUUAUUAAAAACACAGCACUGUGCAAACACGAAAGUGGACGUAUACGGUGUGACGCCUGCCCGGUGCCGGAAGGUUAAUUGAUGGGGUCAGCGCAAGCGAAGCUCUUGAUCGAAGCCCCGGUAAACGGCGGCCGUAACUAUAACGGUCCUAAGGUAGCGAAAUUCCUUGUCGGGUAAGUUCCGACCUGCACGAAUGGCGUAAUGAUGGCCAGGCUGUCUCCACCCGAGACUCAGUGAAAUUGAACUCGCUGUGAAGAUGCAGUGUACCCGCGGCAAGACGGAAAGACCCCGUGAACCUUUACUAUAGCUUGACACUGAACAUUGAGCCUUGAUGUGUAGGAUAGGUGGGAGGCUUUGAAGUGUGGACGCCAGUCUGCAUGGAGCCGACCUUGAAAUACCACCCUUUAAUGUUUGAUGUUCUAACGUUGACCCGUGAUCCGGGUUGCGGACAGUGUCUGGUGGGUAGUUUGACUGGGGCGGUCUCCUCCUAAAGAGUAACGGAGGAGCACGAAGGUUGGCUAAUCCUGGUCGGACAUCAGGAGGUUAGUGCAAUGGCAUAAGCCAGCUUGACUGCGAGCGUGACGGCGCGAGCAGGUGCGAAAGCAGGUCAUAGUGAUCCGGUGGUUCUGAAUGGAAGGGCCAUCGCUCAACGGAUAAAAGGUACUCCGGGGAUAACAGGCUGAUACCGCCCAAGAGUUCAUAUCGACGGCGGUGUUUGGCACCUCGAUGUCGGCUCAUCACAUCCUGGGGCUGAAGUAGGUCCCAAGGGUAUGGCUGUUCGCCAUUUAAAGUGGUACGCGAGCUGGGUUUAGAACGUCGUGAGACAGUUCGGUCCCUAUCUGCCGUGGGCGCUGGAGAAUUGAGGGGGGCUGCUCCUAGUACGAGAGGACCGGAGUGGACGCAUCACUGGUGUUCGGGUUGUCAUGCCAAUGGCACUGCCCGGUAGCUAAAUGCGGAAGAGAUAAGUGCUGAAAGCAUCUAAGCACGAAACUUGCCCCGAGAUGAGGGUUGCCAGCACCAGAUGCCC